Molecule: long non-coding RNA, 257 nt
Filed under: Carica papaya (papaya)
Lineage: Eukaryota; Viridiplantae; Streptophyta; Magnoliopsida; Brassicales; Caricaceae
Description: long non-coding RNA (CPAP_LNC000435)
Source: RNAcentral
AAUUUAAUUUAGGAGGGACAAGGUCCUUCAAUAAGAGUUUUUAGUUAGGUAUACCUUUUUUUUAAGAUAUCCGACUAUGUGCUGAGAACAUAUUACUAUGGCUAUUGGAUAAUGAAGGUUUGGUUGGGUUAAUUUAUGUCAUUUGAGUUUUACUAAUAAUUGUACUAUGUUUAGAAAAAAAAAAUUCAAUGAGGUUGUUUUUUUUGGUAUCCUAAUCGAAUGUCAAUCUUGUAGGAUAUUGAAUCUACGGUUGUCAU